Molecule: non-coding RNA, 589 nt
Organism: Cinara cedri
Lineage: Eukaryota; Metazoa; Arthropoda; Insecta; Hemiptera; Aphididae
Source: the annotation of a GenBank genome assembly
CCAACGAAUCACUUAUAAUUGAAAUGAUAAUCGCCGAUGGCACGCCCACGGUACACAGACAAUUAAUCUUAAUUUUACUAUAUAGCCGAUAUGCAUUAGAACCAAUGAAAACAUUUUAUGUAUGGAGCUAGAAAAGUUUAAAAAAAGUUCCUUGGCUUGAAUUCUGUAGUAAUUCGAUCUUAUCGUUAAUAAUCUGAAGUGUACUACAGCAGCAGCAAUAAUGCGAUGGAAAUCGUUUUUAACAGCAUAUAAAAGCGGGUUUUAUUGGAUAAAUUCAUUUUAUAUAUAUUAUGUUUAUUGGGGUUAUUUUUCGUUUUCCCUCGAGAGGCGACACGACGAGAUACAUAUUGAUGCGAACCGUGACGACGACGACGACGUUAACUGAUUGUUUAUACGGACAGCAGCGUAUAGUUAACGGUAAUUGAUGAUGAUUUACAAAAACCUACGCGUUUUUCUUUUUUCUUUUUUUUUUUUUGAUACGGAGGGCAGCGAGGGAUGUAUUGGUUUUACCAUGAUGUGUGGUUUUCUUUUUUGUCUGUGAAAAAAUUUCAUACCAGAAAUCUUGAUCCGAUCAUUAAGUGUAGCAUCU